Molecule: microRNA, 21 nt
Filed under: Glycine soja
Lineage: Eukaryota; Viridiplantae; Streptophyta; Magnoliopsida; Fabales; Fabaceae
Description: gso-miR482a
Gene: gso-miR482a
Source: miRBase by way of RNAcentral
UCUUCCCUACACCUCCCAUAC